RNAcentral lists this ribosomal RNA (466 nucleotides) under uncultured bacterium. Its description in RNAcentral is "partial 16S ribosomal RNA". It matches the Rfam family "Bacterial small subunit ribosomal RNA", at positions 28 to 507 of the family's 1533-position model. The record is from RNAcentral.
GAUGAACGCUGGCGGCGUGCUUAACACAUGCAAGUCGAACGAUGAAGCUCAGCUUGCUGGGUGGAUUAGUGGCGAACGGGUGAGUAGCACGUGAGUAACCUGCCCUUAACUCUGGGAUAAGCCUGGGAAACUAGGUCUAAUACCGGAUAGGAGCGCCUACCGCAUGGUGGGUGUUGGAAAGAUUUAUCGGUUUUGGAUGGACUCGCGGCCUAUCAGCUUGUUGGUGAGGUAAUGGCUCACCAAGGCGACGACGGGUAGCCGGCCUGAGAGGGUGACCGGCCACACUGGGACUGAGACACGGCCCAGACUCCUACGGGAGGCAGCAGUGGGGAAUAUUGCACAAUGGGCGAAAGCCUGAUGCAGCGACGCCGCGUGAGGGAUGACGGCCUUCGGGUUGUAAACCUCUUUCAGUAGGGAAGAAGCGAAAGUGACGGUACCUGCAGAAGAAGCACCGGCUAACUACGUG